CAGCAGCCGCCGCGGUAAUACGGAGGGUGCAAGCGUUAAUCGGAAUUACUGGGCGUAAAGCGCACGCAGGCGGUCUGACAAGUCAGAUGUGAAAUCCCCGGGCUUAACCUGGGAACUGCAUUUGAAACUGUCAGGCUGGAGUCUUGUAGAGGGGGGUGGAAUUCCAGGUGUAGCGGUGAAAUGCGUAGAGAUCUGGAGGAAUACCGGUGGCGAAGGCGGCCCCCUGGACAAAGACUGACGCUCAGGUGCGAAAGCGUGGGGAGCAAACAGGAUUAGAUACCCGAGUAGUCCCUGUCUCUUAUAA
Molecule: ribosomal RNA, 304 nt
Filed under: uncultured bacterium
Lineage: Bacteria
Description: partial 16S ribosomal RNA
Rfam family: Bacterial small subunit ribosomal RNA
Source: RNAcentral